This 253-nucleotide ribosomal RNA is filed under the name uncultured bacterium. RNAcentral's name for it is "partial 16S ribosomal RNA". It matches the Rfam family "Bacterial small subunit ribosomal RNA", at positions 524 to 776 of the family's 1533-position model. The record is from RNAcentral.
UACGAAGGGGGCUAGCGUUGCUCGGAGUCACUGGGCGUAAAGCGCACGUAGGCGGGUCUUUAAGUCAGGGGUGAAAUCCUGGAGCUCAACUCCAGAACUGCCUUUGAUACUGAGGAUCUCGAGUCCGGGAGAGGUGAGUGGAACUCCGAGUGUAGAGGUGAAAUUCGUAGAUAUUCGGAAGAACACCAGUGGCGAAGGCGGCUCACUGGCCCGGUACUGACGCUGAGGUGCGAAAGCGUGGGGAGCAAACAGG